CGAAAUAAUGGUGAGCUAAGCACAACUAAAUCUUGGAUUGAGGUUAAUUAUGUGUAGCAAAACAUAGUCCCAAGUUCUGCUUAGGGGUGAUAGGCCUUUCAAACUUUAUGAUAUCUUGAUGCCACCCAAAAGUAUGUAGUACAAAGACAUAUAUCAAGUGUUUAGGCUUGAUAUACUGGUGAAAUGAAACGCUUUACAUAGAUUAUUGUAACCAAUUUUUCUAUAUAUGAUUUUACCAUUCAUUUUACAUUAUCUUACCGAAAAAUAGGGGGUCAGCAUAUCAAAUCUUAAGUAGUGUAGAUAAUGUUAAUAUAAGUAUAAUGUGAUAGACCUAUGUAAAAAACUCGGCAAAACAUAAUCUCAACUGUUUAACAAAAACAUAACUAUAUGGUACUUUCAUAUAUAGCAAAUUCUGCUCAAUGUAUGUUUAUAAAUAGCCGCAGUACCUUGACUGUGCAAAGGUAGCAUAAUCAAUUGGCUUAUAAUUGAAGUCUAGAAUGAAGGAAUCUAUGGGGUUUAACUGUUUCAUAUAGGUAGCUGGAAAUUAUUGAUUAAGUGAAAAUCCUUAUAUAUAAAUAAUAGACGAGAAGACCCUAGAAGUUUUAGAAUAUGUUGGUAUAGUCCUUGGGUUUUUAGUUGGGGCGACUGAGCAGCAGAAAUGUAACCUGCUCUUAUUGUUUGAAUUAUAUAAUAAGUUAAAAUAAAUUACUCUAGGGAUAACAGCAUAAUAUUGGAAAGAUUGUGACCUCGAUGUUGGACUAGGAAAUUAGAGCCCAGAAGGCAAAUAAGAAGGCUCUGUU
This 800-nucleotide ribosomal RNA is filed under the name Bradybaena virgo. Its description in RNAcentral is "partial large subunit ribosomal RNA". The stretch from base 321 to 569 matches the Rfam family "Archaeal large subunit ribosomal RNA", at positions 1788 to 2146 of the family's 2987-position model. The record is from RNAcentral. Lineage: Eukaryota; Metazoa; Mollusca; Gastropoda; Stylommatophora; Camaenidae.